GUGCGACGAGAGUCGCUAUAGGUAGGAGUACCUAGCGGGCUACAUCCUAGGCGGUCACCACAUGGUUGGUGGCCGCUUUUCCCGCAAAACAGCUCUAAAAACCCGAGAUCCGGGCGACAAAAGCCCGGAUUCAGGGUGCCGUCAAGGCGCUAAGGAUUCGGCAAUUCGUUGCCUAAAUAUCCGGUCUUCCACCGUGGAGACCAUAAAACGAUAUUCGUACUGAGCCUGUAUUUCGCGUUUUGAGUACAGGGGAGGUAUGGGAGAUCGUGUCCAAAAGCUGGCUGCUCCUAUCCGUAGGGCGCAAGCCAUAGCUGUCAUUGUCUCACCCGAAAACCGCAAGGUGGCCGGGGCGCGAGACCUUCUGUUCAGCCAGAAAGUAGCCUAGGGACAGUGCGUCGCCGGUAACGGCGGGGUGCGAAGCGUCCUGACAAUGUAGCCCCAUGAUGUCUGUGGUGCGUGGUCGCCGCGAGGCGCCAUGCAGACCCUGCGAGCAACACGCGGGCGAGGCGCUAGGCUGGGUGGUACGGCCAACGUAAGUGAACUGCUGAUAAACACCGUCAACCGCAUGGAGCCAAAGUUGCUGACAGGCUUCGACCAAAAGGGUGCGUGACUGGUUGUCCCUCUUACAUCUGGGGACACGCUGACAUCGAGUCACCGGUGAACAGGCAGGGCCUAACCCACUCUUGUGAUGGUUAUGGAACUCGGUAAGCCCGUAUUUUCGCCACUGGCUGGUAGAGCGGGGGCAGGUCGACCGCAAGGAAGGCUGUUGAAAGUGCGGGUAAAGGAGGUCGGAAAAAGCGAAUGCCGCCCUGUAACGGGGCUGGAUAGGGGCCGUUGCCCCGACCCGAAAGGGUGCCCACUUCCGACUGGUCUUUGAUCGCGAAAAGGCUUGUAAAGCCAUAAAAGCUGGCGUCGUUCGGUCCGACCGGCGGCGUCUGAACAGAAAUCCCUCGCGGGGUAGUGAACUCACUCCCCGCAAGGGCGACGUGCGUCCGCUGCUCCUCCGGGGAAAUCUUCUUUGGAGGAAAGCAAGAUGAGUGCGUCUGAAAAGGAAGUACCUGCGUCCUCCCUCCCGGCCAGCAGUUGGCACACGAUCGACUGGGCAACCAGUCAUCGGCGGGUGAGAGGGCUACAGGUACGGAUCGCGAAGGCAGCCAAGAAUCGGCAAUGGCGGCAGGUGAAAACCUUGCAGCGCAUGCUGGUCCGCUCGUUCGCCGCCAAGGCAUUGGCGGUCAAACGGGUCACUGAAAACCGGGGUCGCAGGACUCCGGGCGUCGACGGGGAAACCUGGAGCACGCCUGAAAGCAAAUGGAAGGCUAUUUUUCGGUUACAGCGCACGGGCUACCGGCCCAGGCCGUUGCGGCGGGUGUACAUCCCCAAAGCCAACGGCCAGCGCCGACCGCUGGGAAUACCGACGAUGCUGGAUCGGGCCAUGCAGGCAUUAUACCUGCUGGCGCUCGAACCGGUGUCCGAGACCACGGCGGACCGGAAUUCCUAUGGCUUUCGUCCUCACCGUUCCACGGCGGAUGCAAUCGAGCAAUUGUUCGUCAACCUCGGUCGCAAGCACUCCGCGCAGUGGGUCAUGGAAGGGGAUAUCAAAGGCUGUUUCGACAACAUCAGUCACGAUUGGCUGAUCGCCAACGUCCCGCUGGACAAGGCGGUCUUACGGAAAUGGCUGAAGGCGGGAUACCUGGAAUCCGGCCAAUUGAACCCCACCGGGGCGGGAACUCCGCAAGGAGGCAUCAUCUCGCCGGUGCUGGCCAACCUGGCGCUUGAUGGUCUGGAAAAGGCGCUCGAAUCGCGAUUCGGGCAACGCAACACCAAAGCCAGCUACAAGACCAAGGUCAACUAUGUGCGGUAUGCGGACGAUUUCGUCAUCACCGGCAUCUCGAAAGAGCUGCUGGUGAAUGAGGUGAAGCCCGUCGUCGCCGCCUUCAUGGCGGAGCGCGGGUUGAGCCUCGCGGCGGAAAAGUCGCUGUUCACGCAUGUAUCGGAGGGGUUCGAUUUCCUCGGCCAGAAUGUUCGCAAGUACGGUGACAAGCUGCUGAUCAAGCCAGCUCACCGGAACGUCAAGGCAUUUCUGGCCAAGGUCAAGGCGUUGAUCGAGGGGAACAAGACGGCUCCGGCCAGUCUGUUGAUAGACAAGCUCAACCCGGUCAUCCGGGGCUGGGCCAACUAUCAUCGGCCGAUAGUCGCCAAGCAGACCUUCAAUUACGUGGAUUACCGGAUAUGGAAGUUGUUGUGGCGGUGGUGCAGGCGGCGACAUGGAAAUCGCUGCAAACGUUGGAUCAAGGAGAAAUACUUCAAGCGCAUCGGUACGCGCAGUUGGGUGUUCUCCGGGCGGUAUCCCAGCGGCAAACUGGCCACAUUGCUGUACGCCGACGACACAACCAUACAGCGGCACAAGAAAAUCAGAGCGGAGGCCAAUCCGUACGACCCGGAAGACGAGAUGUACUUCGAGGAAAGGCUGGAAUACGCCUGGCGGAGAUCGGACGAAGGGAAACGGAAAACGCUGAGGCUGUGGCUAGGCCAGAGCAAGCGCUGCCCGAUGUGCAAGCAGUUGAUCACGUUCGAGACGGGAUGGAACAUCCACCACAUCAUCAAGCGGCACAUGGGCGGAGGCGACGAGCUGGACAAUCUGGUGCUGUUGCAUCCCAACUGUCAUCGACAGCUACACAGUGCGGCACCGGCUCUUUCGAUUGAGAAAGGGCUUACAAAGGCUUGAGCCGUAUGCGGGGAAACUCGCACGUACGGUUCUUAGGGGAGGGGUGGCCAGCAAUGGUCGCUCCUUACCCGAC
RNAcentral lists this non-coding RNA (2798 nucleotides) under Azotobacter vinelandii DJ. The record is from RNAcentral. Lineage: Bacteria; Pseudomonadati; Pseudomonadota; Gammaproteobacteria; Pseudomonadales; Pseudomonadaceae.